This 841-nucleotide ribosomal RNA is filed under the name Salmonella enterica. RNAcentral describes it as "partial 23S ribosomal RNA". It matches the Rfam family "Bacterial large subunit ribosomal RNA", at positions 161 to 1042 of the family's 2925-position model. Lineage: Bacteria; Pseudomonadati; Pseudomonadota; Gammaproteobacteria; Enterobacterales; Enterobacteriaceae. The record is from RNAcentral.
AAUCCAUAGGUUAAUGAGGCGAACCGGGGGAACUGAAACAUCUAAGUACCCCGAGGAAAAGAAAUCAACCGAGAUUCCCCCAGUAGCGGCGAGCGAACGGGGAGGAGCCCAGAGCCUGAAUCAGCAUGUGUGUUAGUGGAAGCGUCUGGAAAGGCGCGCGAUACAGGGUGACAGCCCCGUACACAAAAGCGCAUGUGCUGUGAGCUCGAUGAGUAGGGCGGGACACGUGGUAUCCUGUCUGAAUAUGGGGGGACCAUCCUCCAAGGCUAAAUACUCCUGACUGACCGAUAGUGAACCAGUACCGUGAGGGAAAGGCGAAAAGAACCCCGGCGAGGGGAGUGAAAAAGAACCUGAAACCGUGUACGUACAAGCAGUGGGAGCACCCUUUGGGUGUGACUGCGUACCUUUUGUAUAAUGGGUCAGCGACUUAUAUUCUGUAGCAAGGUUAACCGAAUAGGGGAGCCGGAGGGAAACCGAGUCUUAACCGGGCGUUAAGUUGCAGGGUAUAGACCCGAAACCCGGUGAUCUAGCCAUGGGCAGGUUGAAGGUUGGGUAACACUAACUGGAGGACCGAACCGACUAAUGUUGAAAAAUUAGCGGAUGACCUGUGGCUGGGGGUGAAAGGCCAAUCAAACCGGGAGAUAGCUGGUUCUCCCCGAAAGCUAUUUAGGUAGCGCCUCGUGAAUUCAUCUCCGGGGGUAGAGCACUGUUUCGGCUAGGGGGCCAUCCCGGCUUACCAACCCGAUGCAAACUGCGAAUACCGGAGAAUGUUAUCACGGGAGACACACGGCGGGUGCUAACGUCCGUCGUGAAGAGGGAAACAACCCAGACCGCCAGCUAA